RNAcentral lists this unclassified non-coding RNA (336 nucleotides) under soil metagenome. RNAcentral describes it as "partial contains 5.8S ribosomal RNA, internal transcribed spacer 2, and large subunit ribosomal RNA". The stretch from base 1 to 120 matches the Rfam family "5.8S ribosomal RNA", at positions 35 to 154 of the family's 154-position model. The record is from RNAcentral.
GAUGAAGAACGCAGCGAAGUGCGAUAAGUAGUGUGAAUUGCAGAAUUCAGUGAAUCAUCGAAUCUUUGAACGCACAUUGCGCCCCUUGGUAUUCCAUGGGGCAUGCCUGUUCGAGCGUCAUUUGUACCUUCAAGCUUUGCUUGGUGUUGGGUGUUUGUCUCGCCUUUGCGUGUAGACUCGCCUUAAAAUAAUUGGCAGCCGGCGUAUUGAUUUCGGAGCGCAGUACAUCUCGCGCUUUGCACUCAUAACGACAGCGUCCAAAAGUACAUUUUACACUCUUGACCUCGGAUCAGGUAGGGAUACCCGCUGAACUUAAGCAUAUCAAUAAGCGGAGGA